Molecule: ribosomal RNA, 274 nt
Filed under: uncultured bacterium
Lineage: Bacteria
Description: partial 16S ribosomal RNA
Rfam family: Bacterial small subunit ribosomal RNA
Source: RNAcentral
AUACGGAGGGGACAAGCGUUAUUCGGAAUCACUGGGCGUAAAGGACGCGUAGGCGGGUUAUUAAGUCGGGUGUGAAAUCCAAUGGCUCAACCAUUGAACUGCAUUCGAAACUGAUAACCUAGAGUAUGGAAGGGGCAGGUGGAAUUAGUGGUGUAGGGGUAAAAUCCGUAGAUAUCACUAGGAGUACCGAAAGCGAAGGCGACCUGCUGGGACAUUACUGACGCUGAGGCGUGAAAGCGUGGGGAGCAAACAGGAUUAGAAACCCCGGUAGUCC